RNAcentral lists this ribosomal RNA (467 nucleotides) under uncultured ciliate. RNAcentral's name for it is "SSU rRNA". It matches the Rfam family "Eukaryotic small subunit ribosomal RNA". Lineage: Eukaryota; Ciliophora. The record is from RNAcentral.
AUUUGUCUGGUUAAUUCCGAUAACGAACGAGACCUUAACCUGCUAACUAGUUCUCAAUACUCUGUAUUCUGCAACUUCUUAGAGGGACUAUGUAAAUCAAUUACAUGGAAGUUUGAGGCAAUAACAGGUCAGUGAUGCCCUUAUAUGUCCUGGGCUGCACGCGUGCUACACUGAUGCAUACAACAAGUGCCUAGCCAGACAUGGUAUGGCAAUCUCGAAUAUGCAUCGUGAUGGGGAUAGAUCUUUGCAAUUAUAGAUCUUGAACGAGGAAUUCCUAGUAAGUGCAAGUCAUCAUCUUGCAUUGAUUAUGUCCCUGCCCUUUGUACACACCGCCCGUCGCUCCUACCGAUACCGGGUGAUCCGGUGAACCUUUUGGACUCUUUACUGGGAAAGAUAAGUAAACCAUAUCACCUAGAGGAAGGAGAAGUCGUAACAAGGUUUCCGUAGGUGAACCUGCRGAAGGAUCA